Molecule: small RNA, 159 nt
Filed under: human gut metagenome
Description: Clostridiales-1 RNA
Rfam family: Clostridiales-1 RNA
Source: RNAcentral
GUAAAAGAUCAAAAAGCCUUAUCAUGCUUGCAUGAUAAGGCUUUUGAACUUGGAACCCGCCAAACAUGAGAAAGUACCGAUUUACGUAGUAAAUCAGCGGAUUUCGAAUGUUUGUAGAAUUGCGGGAGCUGCUUCGCAGCGGAGCAAUUCGCAGGCAUC